RNAcentral lists this ribosomal RNA (1289 nucleotides) under Escherichia coli. RNAcentral's name for it is "partial 23S ribosomal RNA". It matches the Rfam family "Bacterial large subunit ribosomal RNA", at positions 1530 to 2798 of the family's 2925-position model. The record is from RNAcentral. Lineage: Bacteria; Pseudomonadati; Pseudomonadota; Gammaproteobacteria; Enterobacterales; Enterobacteriaceae.
UUCCAGGCAAAUCCGGAAAAUCAAGGCUGAGGCGUGAUGACGAGGCACUACGGUGCUGAAGCAACAAAUGCCCUGCUUCCAGGAAAAGCCUCUAAGCAUCAGGUAACAUUAAAUCGUACCCCAAACCGACACAGGUGGUCAGGUAGAGAAUACCAAGGCGCUUGAGAGAACUCGGGUGAAGGAACUAGGCAAAAUGGUGCCGUAACUUCGGGAGAAGGCACGCUGAUAUGUAGGUGAAGUCCCUCGCGGAUGGAGCUGAAAUCAGUCGAAGAUACCAGCUGGCUGCAACUGUUUAUUAAAAACACAGCACUGUGCAAACACGAAAGUGGACGUAUACGGUGUGACGCCUGCCCGGUGCCGGAAGGUUAAUUGAUGGGGUUAGCGGUAACGCGAAGCUCUUGAUCGAAGCCCCGGUAAACGGCGGCCGUAACUAUAACGGUCCUAAGGUAGCGAAAUUCCUUGUCGGGUAAGUUCCGACCUGCACGAAUGGCGUAAUGAUGGCCAGGCUGUCUCCACCCGAGACUCAGUGAAAUUGAACUCGCUGUGAAGAUGCAGUGUACCCGCGGCAAGACGGAAAGACCCCGUGAACCUUUACUAUAGCUUGACACUGAACAUUGAGCCUUGAUGUGUAGGAUAGGUGGGAGGCUUUGAAGUGUGGACGCCAGUCUGCAUGGAGCCGACCUUGAAAUACCACCCUUUAAUGUUUGAUGUUCUAACGUUGACCCGUGAUCCGGGUUGCGGACAGUGUCUGGUGGGUAGUUUGACUGGGGCGGUCUCCUCCUAAAGAGUAACGGAGGAGCACGAAGGUUGGCUAAUCCUGGUCGGACAUCAGGAGGUUAGUGCAAUGGCAUAAGCCAGCUUGACUGCGAGCGUGACGGCGCGAGCAGGUGCGAAAGCAGGUCAUAGUGAUCCGGUGGUUCUGAAUGGAAGGGCCAUCGCUCAACGGAUAAAAGGUACUCCGGGGAUAACAGGCUGAUACCGCCCAAGAGUUCAUAUCGACGGCGGUGUUUGGCACCUCGAUGUCGGCUCAUCACAUCCUGGGGCUGAAGUAGGUCCCAAGGGUAUGGCUGUUCGCCAUUUAAAGUGGUACGCGAGCUGGGUUUAGAACGUCGUGAGACAGUUCGGUCCCUAUCUGCCGUGGGCGCUGGAGAACUGAGGGGGGCUGCUCCUAGUACGAGAGGACCGGAGUGGACGCAUCACUGGUGUUCGGGUUGUCAUGCCAAUGGCACUGCCCGGUAGCUAAAUGCGGAAGAGAUAAGUGCUGAAAGCAUCUAAGCACGAAACUUGCC